This 296-nucleotide long non-coding RNA is filed under the name Rhinopithecus bieti (black snub-nosed monkey). RNAcentral describes it as "lncRNA (ENSRBIG00000046314.1)". Lineage: Eukaryota; Metazoa; Chordata; Mammalia; Primates; Cercopithecidae. The record is from RNAcentral.
UCACCCAGGCUGGAGUGCAGUGACGUCAUCUCGGCUCAGUCAGCUUCCACAUCCUGGGCUCAAGUGAUCCUCCCGCCUCGGCCUCCCAAAGCUCUGGGAUCACAGGCGGAGCCACCGCAUCGGUCCAACCGUUGCGGUUCGUGCCAGGUGGUCGGCUGGCCAUCACCGUGCCCUUGUCACCUGUGUCUCCAAGCCCUACACACCAUGAGGGUGUGCCCAAGGGCGUUGUAGAACGCUCUGGCCACAGUGUGGGGAUGGGAGCUCCCGCCGACAGACUCUGUUGCUUUCUGGCUUGA